This 547-nucleotide ribosomal RNA is filed under the name uncultured bacterium. RNAcentral describes it as "bacterial SSU rRNA". It matches the Rfam family "Bacterial small subunit ribosomal RNA", at positions 355 to 896 of the family's 1533-position model. The record is from RNAcentral.
UAGGGAAUUUUUCACAAUGAGCGAAAGCUUGAUGGAGCAAUGCCGCGUGAACGAUGAAGGUCUUUAAGAUUGUAAAGUUCUUUUAUUUGGGAAGAAUGACUUUAGCAGGUAAUGGCUAGAGUUUGACUGUACCAUUUUGAAUAAGUGACGACUAACUAUGUGCCAGCAGUCGCGGUAAUACAUAGGUCGCAAGCGUUAUCCGGAUUUAUUGGGCGUAAAGCAAGCGCAGGCGGAUUGAAAAGUCUGGUGUUAAAGGCAGCUGCUUAACAGUUGUAUGCAUUGGAAACUAUUAAUCUAGAGUGCGGUAGGGAGUUUUGGAAUUUCAUGUGGAGCGGUGAAAUGCGUAGAUAUAUGAAGGAACACCAGUGGCGAAGGCGAAAACUUAGGCCAUUACUGACGCUUAGGCUUGAAAGUGUGGGGAGCAAAUAGGAUUAGAUACCCUAGUAAUCCACACCGUAAACGAUAGAUACUAGCUGUCGGGGCGAUCCCCUCGGUAGUGAAGUUAACACAUUAAGUAUCUCGCCUGGGUAGUACAUUCGCAAGAAUG